This 477-nucleotide ribosomal RNA is filed under the name Ilyonectria sp. RNAcentral's name for it is "eukaryotic LSU rRNA". The stretch from base 112 to 265 matches the Rfam family "5.8S ribosomal RNA". Lineage: Eukaryota; Fungi; Ascomycota; Sordariomycetes; Hypocreales; Nectriaceae. The record is from RNAcentral.
UGACAUACCUAUUUGUUGCCUCGGCGGUGCCUGUUCCGACAGCCCGCCAGAGGACCCCAAACCCUGAUUACAUUUAAGAAGUCUUCUGAGUAAACCGAUUAAAUAAAUCAAAACUUUCAACAACGGAUCUCUUGGUUCUGGCAUCGAUGAAGAACGCAGCGAAAUGCGAUAAGUAAUGUGAAUUGCAGAAUUCAGUGAAUCAUCGAAUCUUUGAACGCACAUUGCGCCCGCUAGUAUUCUGGCGGGCAUGCCUGUCCGAGCGUCAUUUCAACCCUCAAGCCCCCGGGCUUGGUGUUGGGGAUCGGCGAGCCUCCGCGCCCGCCGUCCCCUAAAUCUAGUGGCGGUCUCGCUGUAGCUUCCUCUGCGUAGUAGCACACCUCGCACUGGGAAACAGCGCGGCCACGCCGUUAAACCCCCAACUUCUGAACGUUUGACCUCGGAUCAGGUAGGAAUACCCGCUGAACUUAAGCAUAUCAA